Molecule: ribosomal RNA, 707 nt
Filed under: Massilia sp.
Lineage: Bacteria; Pseudomonadati; Pseudomonadota; Betaproteobacteria; Burkholderiales; Oxalobacteraceae
Description: bacterial SSU rRNA
Rfam family: Bacterial small subunit ribosomal RNA
Source: RNAcentral
GCGCGGGGCAACCUGGCGGCGAGUGGCGAACGGGUGAGUAAUAUAUCGGAACGUACCCUGGAGUGGGGGAUAACGUAGCGAAAGUUACGCUAAUACCGCAUACGAUCUAAGGAUGAAAGUGGGGGCUUCGCAAGAACCUCAUGCUCCUGGAGCGGCCGAUAUCUGAUUAGCUAGUUGGUAGGGUAAAAGCCUACCAAGGCUUCGAUCAGUAGCUGGUCUGAGAGGACGACCAGCCACACUGGAACUGAGACACGGUCCAGACUCCUACGGGAGGCAGCAGUGGGGAAUUUUGGACAAUGGGCGCAAGCCUGAUCCAGCAAUGCCGCGUGAGUGAAGAAGGCCUUCGGGUUGUAAAGCUCUUUUGUCAGGGAAGAAACGGUGAGGGCUAAUAUCCNUUGCUAAUGACGGUACCUGAAGAAUAAGCACCGGCUAACUACGUGCCAGCAGCCGCGGUAAUACGUAGGGUGCAAGCGUUAAUCGGAAUUACUGGGCGUAAAGCGUGCGCAGGCGGUUUUGUAAGUUUGUCGUGAAAGCCCCGGGCUCAACCUGGGAAUUGCGAUGAAGACUGCAAGGCUUGAAUCUGGCAGAGGGGGGUAGAAUUCCACGUGUAGCAGUGAAAUGCGUAGAGAUGUGGAGGAACACCGAUGGCGAAGGCAGCCCCCUGGGUCAAGAUUGACGCUCAUGCACGAAAGCGUGGGGAGCAAACA